UGACCAUAUAAGAGAUCACUUGAAUUUCUAAUCAAUCAUCAGUGAUCAUUUCGAUGCUAUAGUUGUGUGAAUGAUCUUUUGAUCAGUGAUGGUAUGACUACUCAUAGUGAGGCUGUUAGAGUUUGACUGACACAUAAAUAUGGCUUCAUUGAUAUCUUGUAGUGGAUGUUGGUGACAGUUGGUCCACUGUAGGAGUAGGAUAUGCACCUAAAUGGAAUCUAUCAAUUUUAAUAAAGAGGAGUAGUCCUAUGGGAUUUGAGAGGCUAAGUCUGAGAGUCUGUGGCCAUAGCAGUGUAAUGGUUGGAAA
RNAcentral lists this long non-coding RNA (307 nucleotides) under Elaeis guineensis (African oil palm). RNAcentral describes it as "long non-coding RNA (EGUI_LNC051686)". The record is from RNAcentral. Lineage: Eukaryota; Viridiplantae; Streptophyta; Magnoliopsida; Arecales; Arecaceae.